Molecule: ribosomal RNA, 509 nt
Filed under: uncultured Bacteroidales bacterium
Lineage: Bacteria; Pseudomonadati; Bacteroidota; Bacteroidia; Bacteroidales
Description: partial 16S ribosomal RNA
Source: RNAcentral
CACGGAGUUAGCCGAUGCUUUUUCUUCGGAUACACGCAGUCCGGGACACGUCCCGGGUUUUGUUCUCCGACAAAAGAGGUUUACAACCCAUAGGGCCGCCUUCCCUCACGCGGCUUGGCUGGUUCAGGAUCUCUCCCAUUGACCAAUAUUCCUCACUGCUGCCUCCCGUAGGAGUCUGGUCCGUGUCUCAGUACCAGUGUGGGGGACCUUCCUCUCAGAACCCCUACGCAUCGUCGCCACGGUGGGCCGUUACCCCGCCGUCAAGCUAAUGCGCCGCAUGCCCAUCCUCUUCCGAUGAAUCUUUCCUCGAUCUCGGAUGCCCGAAACCGAUAUACGCGGGAUUAGCCUCCCUUUCGGAAGGUUGUCCCCCUGAAGAGGGCAGGUUGCAUACGUGUUACUCACCCGUGCGCCGGUCGCCGGCAAGGAAAGCAAGCUUUCCUCCCGAUGCCCCUCGACUUGCAUGUGUUAAGCCUGCCGCUAGCGUUCAUCCUGAGCCAGGAUCAAACUCU